CACGUAGGCGGUCUUUUAAGUCAGGUGUGAAAUCCCCGCGCUUAACGUGGGCAUUGCAUUUGAAACUAUGUAGCUAGAGUUCUGUAGAGGGGGGUAGAAUUCCAGGUGUAGCGGUGAAAUGCGUAGAGAUCUGGAGGAAUACCGAUUGCGAAGGCAGCCCCCUGGACAGUGACUGACGCUCAUAUGCGAAAGCGUGGGGAUCAAACAGGAUUAGAUACCCUAGUA
This 225-nucleotide ribosomal RNA is filed under the name uncultured Thorsellia sp. Its description in RNAcentral is "partial 16S ribosomal RNA". It matches the Rfam family "Bacterial small subunit ribosomal RNA", at positions 568 to 792 of the family's 1533-position model. Lineage: Bacteria; Pseudomonadati; Pseudomonadota; Gammaproteobacteria; Enterobacterales; Thorselliaceae. The record is from RNAcentral.